Molecule: non-coding RNA, 112 nt
Organism: Anas platyrhynchos (mallard)
Lineage: Eukaryota; Metazoa; Chordata; Aves; Anseriformes; Anatidae
Source: Rfam
GUCAGGAUGGCCGAGUGGUCUAAGGCGCCAGACUCAAGGCUCCCGCCUUCCCGCCGCGGCUGGGUAUUCUGGUCUCCGUAUGGAGGCGUGGGUUCGAAUCCCACUUCUGACA